This 250-nucleotide ribosomal RNA is filed under the name uncultured bacterium. Its description in RNAcentral is "partial 16S ribosomal RNA". It matches the Rfam family "Bacterial small subunit ribosomal RNA", at positions 793 to 1055 of the family's 1533-position model. The record is from RNAcentral.
GUCCACGCUGUAAACGAUGAUUACUAAGUGUCGGGAAACCGGUGCUGAAGCUAACGCAUUAAGUAAUCCACCUGAGUAGUACGGUCGCAAGACUGAAACUCAAAGGAAUUGACGGGCACCCGCACAAGCGGUGGAGCAUGCUGUUUAAUUCGAUGCUACGCGAAGAACCUUACCUAGACUUGACAUCCCCGGCAAAGCUAUAGAAAUAUAGUGGAGGUUACCCGGGUGACAGGUGGUGCAUGGUUGUCGU